GGUGAGUAAAGCCUAGGAAUCUGCCUGGUAGUGGGGGAUAACGUUCGGAAACGGACGCUAAUACCGCAUACGUCCUACGGGAGAAAGCAGGGGACCUUCGGGCCUUGCGCUAUCAGAUGAGCCUAGGUCGGAUUAGCUAGUUGGUGAGGUAAUGGCUCACCAAGGCGACGAUCCGUAACUGGUCUGANAGGAUGAUCAGUCACACUGGAACUGAGACACGGUCCAGACUCCUACGGGAGGCAGCAGUGGGGAAUAUUGGACAAUGGGCGAAAGCCUGAUCCAGCCAUGCCGCGUGUGUGAAGAAGGNCNUCGGAUUGUAAAGCACUUUAAGUUGGGAGGAAGGGCAUUAACCUAAUACGUUAGUGUUUUGACGUUNCCGACAGAAUAAGCACCGGCUAACUCUGUGCCAGCANCCGCGGUAAUACAGAGGGNGCNNGCGUUAAUCGGAAUUACUGGGCGUAAAGCGCGCGUANGUGGUUUGUUAAGUUGGAUGUGAAAUCCCCGGGCUCAACCUGGGAACUGCAUUCAAAACUGACUGACUANAGUAUGGUANAGGGUGAUGGAAUUUCCUGUGUAGCGGUGAAAUGCGUANAUAUAGGAAGGAACACCANUGGCGAANGCGANCACCUGGACUAAUACUGACACUGANGUGCGAAAGCGUGGGGAGNNAACAGGAUUANAUACCCUGGNANUCCACGCC
Molecule: ribosomal RNA, 700 nt
Filed under: uncultured bacterium
Lineage: Bacteria
Description: partial 16S rRNA
Rfam family: Bacterial small subunit ribosomal RNA
Source: RNAcentral